RNAcentral lists this ribosomal RNA (253 nucleotides) under uncultured bacterium. Its description in RNAcentral is "partial 16S ribosomal RNA". It matches the Rfam family "Bacterial small subunit ribosomal RNA", at positions 524 to 776 of the family's 1533-position model. The record is from RNAcentral.
UACGUAGGGGGCAAGCGUUGUCCGGAAUCAUUGGGCGUAAAGAGCGUGUAGGCGGCCCGAUAAGUCGGUUGUGAAAGUCAAGGGCUCAACCCUUGAAUGCCGACCGAUACUGUCGGGCUAGAGUCCGGAAGAGGUGAGUGGAAUUCCUGGUGUAGCGGUGAAAUGCGCAGAUAUCAGGAGGAACACCGGUGGCGAAGGCGGGUCUCUGGGCCGAUACUGACGCUGAGGAGCGAAAGCGUGGGGAGCAAACAGG